RNAcentral lists this ribosomal RNA (468 nucleotides) under uncultured bacterium. Its description in RNAcentral is "partial 16S ribosomal RNA". It matches the Rfam family "Bacterial small subunit ribosomal RNA", at positions 28 to 507 of the family's 1533-position model. The record is from RNAcentral.
GACGAACGCUGGCAGCGUGCUUAACACAUGCAAGUCGAACGGAAAGGCCCUGCUUUUGUGGGGUGCUCGAGUGGCGAACGGGUGAGUAACACGUGAGUAACCUGCCCUUGACUUUGGGAUAACUUCAGGAAACUGGGGCUAAUACCGGAUAGGAGCUCCUGCUGCAUGGUGGGGGUUGGAAAGUUUCGGCGGUUGGGGAUGGACUCGCGGCUUAUCAGCUUGUUGGUGGGGUAGUGGCUUACCAAGGCUUUGACGGGUAGCCGGCCUGAGAGGGUGACCGGCCACAUUGGGACUGAGAUACGGCCCAGACUCCUACGGGAGGCAGCAGUGGGGAAUAGUGCACAAUGGGCGGAAGCCUGAUGCAGCAACGCCGCGUGCGGGAUGACGGCCUUCGGGUUGUAAACCGCUUUCGCCUGUGACGAAGCGUGAGUGACGGUAAUGGGUAAAGAAGCACCGGCUAACUACGUG